GAUGAAGAACGCAGCAAAAUGCGAUAAGUAAUGUGAAUUGCAGAAUUCAGUGAAUCUUCGAAUCUUUGAACGCACAUUGCGCCCGCUGGUACUCCGGCGGGCAUGCCUGUUCGAGCGUCAUUUCAACCCUCAAGCCCCCGGGUUUGGUGUUGGGGAUCGGCUCUGCCCUUCUGGGCGGUGCCGCCCCCGAAAUACAUUGGCGGUCUCGCUGCAGCCUCCAUUGCGUAGUAGCUAACACCUCGCAACUGGAACGCGGCGCGGCCAUGCCGUAAAACCCCAACUUCUGAAUGUUGACCUCGGAUCAGGUAGGAAUACCCGCUGAACUUAAGCAUAUCAAUAAGCGGAGGA
This 348-nucleotide unclassified non-coding RNA is filed under the name soil metagenome. Its description in RNAcentral is "partial contains 5.8S ribosomal RNA, internal transcribed spacer 2, and large subunit ribosomal RNA". The stretch from base 1 to 120 matches the Rfam family "5.8S ribosomal RNA", at positions 35 to 154 of the family's 154-position model. The record is from RNAcentral.